CAGCCGCCGCGGGAAUACGAAGGGCGCGAGCGUUAAUCGGAAUUACUGGGCGUAAAGCGUGCGUAGGCGGUGAGUUAAGUCUGCUGUGAAAUCCCCGGGCUCAACCUGGGAAUGGCAGUGGAUACUGGCUCGCUAGAGUGUGUCAGAGGAUGGUGGAAUUCCCGGUGUAGCGGUGAAAUGCGUAGAGAUCGGGAGGAACAUCAGUGGCGAAGGCGGCCAUCUGGGACAACACUGACGCUGAGGCACGAAAGCGUGGGGAGCAAACAGGAUUAGAUACCCCGGUAGUCCCUGUCUCUUAUAA
RNAcentral lists this ribosomal RNA (301 nucleotides) under uncultured bacterium. RNAcentral's name for it is "partial 16S ribosomal RNA". It matches the Rfam family "Bacterial small subunit ribosomal RNA", at positions 509 to 809 of the family's 1533-position model. The record is from RNAcentral.